GAUGAACGCUGGCGGCGUGCCUAAUACAUGCAAGUCGAGCGAACAGACGAGGAGCUUGCUCCUCUGACGUUAGCGGCGGACGGGUGAGUAACACGUGGAUAACCUACCUAUAAGACUGGGAUAACUUCGGGAAACCGGAGCUAAUACCGGAUAAUAUAUUGAGCCGCAUGGUUCAAUAGUGAAAGACGGUUUUGCUGUCACUUAUAGAUGGAUCCGCGCCGCAUUAGCUAGUUGGUAAGGUAACGGCUUACCAAGGCAACGAUGCGUAGCCGACCUGAGAGGGUGAUCGGCCACACUGGAACUGAGACACGGUCCAGACUCCUACGGGAGGCAGCAGUAGGGAAUCUUCCGCAAUGGGCGAAAGCCUGACGGAGCAACGCCGCGUGAGCGAUGAAGGUCUUCGGAUCGUAAAACUCUGUUAUUAGGGAAGAACAAAUGUGUAAGUAACUAUGCACGUCUUGACGGUACCUAAUCAGAAAGCCACGGCUAACUACGUG
This 497-nucleotide ribosomal RNA is filed under the name uncultured bacterium. RNAcentral describes it as "partial 16S ribosomal RNA". It matches the Rfam family "Bacterial small subunit ribosomal RNA", at positions 28 to 507 of the family's 1533-position model. The record is from RNAcentral.